UGCUUUUCUACGCCAAGAAAGGCCCGUACGAGUACGGGAUUGACGGUAGCGUAGGAAUAAGCAUCGGCUAACUCCGUGCCAGCAGCCGCGGUAAUACGGAAGAUGCAAGCGUUAUCCGGAUUCAUUGGGUUUAAAGGGUGCGCAGGCGGGCUUGUAAGUCAGUGGUGAAAUACUGCCGCUUAACGGUAGAAUUGCCAUUGAUACUGCGAGUCUUGAGUAUGGUUGAGGUAGGCGGAAUGUGCAGUGUAGCGGUGAAAUGCCUAGAGAUUGCACAGAACGCCGAUUGCGGAAGCAGCUUACUAAGCCAUAACUGACGCUUAGGCACGAAAGCGUGGGGAGCGAACAGGAUUAGAUACCCUGGGUGUCCCACGCUGUAAACCGAUGUUCACUCGCUUGUUGCGAUACACAGCAAAGCGGCUGAGCGAAAGCAUUAAGUGAACCACCUGGGGAGUACGAUCGCAAGGUUGAAACUCAAAGGAAUUGACGGGGGCCCGCACAAGCGGAGGAACAUGUGGUUUAAUUCGAUGAUACGCGAGGAACCUUACCUGGGCUUAAAUGUAGGCUGCAUGAAGUAGAAAUACUUCUUUCCUUCGGGGACUGCUUACAAGGUGCUGCAUGGUUGUCGUCAGCUCGUGCCGUGAGGUGUCGGGUUAAGUCCCAUAACGAGCGCAACCCUUAUCGUUAGUUGCUAGCAGGUAAAGCUGAGGACUCUAGCGAGA
RNAcentral lists this ribosomal RNA (719 nucleotides) under uncultured organism. RNAcentral's name for it is "bacterial SSU rRNA". It matches the Rfam family "Bacterial small subunit ribosomal RNA", at positions 431 to 1148 of the family's 1533-position model. The record is from RNAcentral.